Drosophila virilis is the source of this 347-nucleotide long non-coding RNA. RefSeq lists it as uncharacterized. NCBI's taxonomy places the organism in Eukaryota, Metazoa, Arthropoda, Insecta, Diptera, Drosophilidae. The record is from RefSeq and is a predicted model, not a curated record.
UCGGCUUCUUUGAAGUCGGUGCGUAAUCAAAAAAAAAUCAAUACGAUAUAAAUGAAGGUACAGAGAAAAGGAUGGCUUCAGGACCCAACCCGCUGAAGUUUUAUGUGGCACGAGUCGGUAGCUAAUAAUCGCGUAGAUGUAGUGGAAUCCGAGAAGUACGACGAAAGUAGAGAAUAUCCAUUAACAUGAGAAGUUUUCUUGUAGUGGUUGCUGACGUUAAAUGAGCUUCGGAGACAGGUGACCCAGGACGAUAUAAAGCUGAUCCUGCGCCGCACCUGUCACACAGUCAAAAGGCGCAGAUGUGUAAAAAAUUUGCCCUGAAGCAGGUUUGCCGAUGUGCAACCGAA